This is a long non-coding RNA of Rhipicephalus microplus (southern cattle tick), 277 nucleotides long. NCBI's taxonomy places the organism in Eukaryota, Metazoa, Arthropoda, Arachnida, Ixodida, Ixodidae. The record is from RefSeq and is a predicted model, not a curated record.
AUCGAACCAAGUGCAAUAAAGAAGAGACAAGAGUUUGCGACCAACUUGGAAAGAGAUGCGACUUUUCGACAGGGGCAGCGCUGUGCACAGGCCACAAGCGGACCAAAUGCAACACCCGCGAGGAACAAGCGUGCGCCAGAAUAGGAAAAGGAUGCGAGUUGAUCGACGAAAAGGCAAUGUGUGUGGGCAAAAAUCGAACCAAGUGCAAUAAAGAAGAGACAAGAGUUUGCGACCAACUUGGAAAGAGAUGCGACUUUUCGACAGGGGCAGCGCUGUG